GAUGAACGCUAGCGGCAGGCCUAACACAUGCAAGUCGAGGGGUAACAGGGGAGCUUGCUCCAGCUGACGACCGGCGCACGGGUGCGGAACGCGUAUGGAACCUACCUCAAUCUGGGGGAUAGCCCAGGGAAACUUGGAUUAACACCCCAUAGUAUUAUUGGAUUGCAUGAUUCAAUAAUUAAAGGUUACGGAUUGAGAUGGCCAUGCGUAUCAUUAGCUGGUUGGUAAGGUAACGGCUUACCAAGGCUACGAUGAUUAGGGGCCCUGAGAGGGGGAUCCCCCACACUGGUACUGAGACACGGACCAGACUCCUACGGGAGGCAGCAGUGAGGAAUAUUGGACAAUGGUCGGAAGACUGAUCCAGCCAUGCCGCGUGCAGGAUGACUGCCCUAUGGGUUGUAAACUGCUUUUGUACGAGAAGAACACCCUCUUCGUGAAGAGGACUGACGGUAUCGUACGAAUAAGGACCGGCUAACUCCGUGCCAGCCGCCGCCGUAACAC
RNAcentral lists this ribosomal RNA (501 nucleotides) under uncultured bacterium. RNAcentral describes it as "bacterial SSU rRNA". It matches the Rfam family "Bacterial small subunit ribosomal RNA", at positions 28 to 526 of the family's 1533-position model. The record is from RNAcentral.